UACCAUUUAGAUAAUCUAAGGAAAGGACACCUAGCUCAUUAGCACGAGGCCAAGAGAGAGUAAUGCUGGUUCUGGGGGACCGAGAAGAAUUCAGGCGCCUGAAGGAUGUCCUUUGUGUCUUACAAAUCGUGUGUGGUGGAGCCUUCUCGGAGCGUAGAUGAAUAUUUCCUUCAAAUCAGUCAACCCUUCUUGUUCUUUGCAUUUAUUAAUGGAAACGCUCUCCGCUGCAGGGGUGAAAAGAGUGGUUUUAGACGCCACAGGCCUCCAGGGGCCAGGCAGGAAGCGGGGACAUGGGCGUCGAUGACAUGGGCGUCCCAGUCUCACAUCUCCCCAGUCUGCGAAGCUGAGUGCCCUCCUGCCCUCCACCUGGGAGCCUCGGCACUCACAGACCUGGCUCUGCCUGAAAGGGGUUUGGGGCGACAGUGGCUGCAUAGGUGGCAUGCACUCUAUUUCUACUGGAUGGCGCUGCUCUAGACGAUUGUGGACUGAAGAAUAUCGCCGACCUCAUCCUUUGCCCCAAACAGCUUAGUGAUCGUCCCCUCUUACCUGCAGCCGGGACUCUUCUUGAGCGGAAUUCGGGGCAGGAAGAUUUUUUCAUUUUGUUGAGCACCCAUGGCUUGCUGGGUCCUGUGCGAGGUAUAUCCCACCCCGGUCCCACGGAAUCCUGACGAAGCAGGGUCCUCAGCCCAUCUGCAGGUUUAUAACUGAAAACAUCCCGAUUUUGCAAAUAUGCAACCUAGAGGGCUGCCCCUGGGAACUGAAUCUGAGCUUCCCAUUGUGGCACCACACAUACACACUCCCAUGUGCGCACACACACAGACACAUACAUCAAAAUAAAUGGGGCCAAAGGGUUCCUCUGUGAGCGAAAAAUUUCUAGUCCUUUCAACAAAUCGAGC
This 896-nucleotide long non-coding RNA is filed under the name Equus caballus (horse). RNAcentral's name for it is "lncRNA (ENSECAG00000041848.2)". The record is from RNAcentral. Lineage: Eukaryota; Metazoa; Chordata; Mammalia; Perissodactyla; Equidae.